CGUAGGUGGCAAGCGUUGUCCGGAAUUAUUGGGCGUAAAGCGCGCGCAGGCGGUUCCUUAAGUCUGAUGUGAAAGCCCCCGGCUCAACCGGGAAGGUCAUUGGAAACUGGGGAACUUGAGUGCAGAAGAGAGGAGCGGAAUUCCACGUGUAGCGGUGAAAUGCGUAGAGAUGUGGAGGAACACCAGUGGCGAAGGCGGCUCUUUGGUCUGUAACUGACGCUGAGGCGCGAAAGCGUGGGGAGCAAACAGGAUUAGAUACCCUGGUAGUCCACGCCGUAAACGAUGAGUGCUAAGUGUUAGAGGGUUUCCGCCCUUUAGUGCUGCAGCUAACGCAUUAAGCACUCCGCCUGGGGAGUACGGCCGCAAGGCUG
RNAcentral lists this ribosomal RNA (371 nucleotides) under uncultured organism. RNAcentral describes it as "bacterial SSU rRNA". It matches the Rfam family "Bacterial small subunit ribosomal RNA", at positions 526 to 896 of the family's 1533-position model. The record is from RNAcentral.